UCACACUUUUCUUAGCUAGCUAUGUUAGGCAGUCUGUGACAAAGUACGUGACACUGUUAGCUCUUUAAUCUCUAUUACUUCAGCAAUAACCAGCAGGAGCUAACAAUGAGACCUGUGUUGAAAGAGGAUUUUACCAGUUCAAGUUAGUCAAUUUGAUCUAGUACUUGCGUCUUGGUGCAGUGGGGAGAGCAUAGAUAGCUUCUUUUUUCUUGAUAUGCUGAUUUGCAAAAUAAGAAGAAGAUGAAUGUCAUACCUGGAGUGAUUGAGAACAUCGUGGGAGGGAAAGAAAUGCGUAGGAUAAAAAAGGAAAUCCGUGCUAACUGUUACUAGGAGGGGACUUAAACAAUUCUAUCUAUUAAAUUCCAUUCUUCUUUUGAAAUAUUACCUUUUGAAUAUUCAUUCUGAAAAAUGUACAAAGAUCUAAGCAAUUAAAUAGUCAUAUUCUUCUCCUGUUUCAAUUAUGUUAGAAUUCUCAAUUUUGAGGUGACUGGAUUGUUACUUCAAAAAAACUGCAGGCUGAGACGGAUAAAGGGAAGGGAAUCGGUGUUGUGCUAUUUCAUAUUGAAGCCAACCUAGAGAGCUUGGUUGGUGCAAGUUCGAGGAUUGACAUGAUCCUGGGUGUUUUGGGAUGGUCCACGGGCUGCAGUUGGUCAGAGAACAAACAGUUUCUAGAAUGCUAAUUUAGUGGCCUGGUGAAGAGUACUUGCCCAGCUGUUGAAAGCUUGGGGAAGAAAGUUUUGUUCAGUGAAACCUGAGUUCUUUUUAUCUUCUAGUUGUCAAUUCUUUUUCUCCUCCCACCAUCUUGACAAGUAUAGAAGCAAGCAAUAUUAGGUAAUAUGGUGUCGGGCGACUGUAUAUAAAGGAAGAGUAGCAAACCAGUUAUACUUGUAAAGGAAUUUUCAAUUAUACGAACUCCAACAAAAGUAUGUUAGACAGUUAUACAAAAUAAAUAUAUUAAAUAUCUUCCAUCUUAUCCUUUUUUA
Long non-coding RNA from Solanum tuberosum (potato), 983 nucleotides. RefSeq lists it as uncharacterized. The transcript has 2 exons. Lineage: Eukaryota; Viridiplantae; Streptophyta; Magnoliopsida; Solanales; Solanaceae. The record is from RefSeq and is a predicted model, not a curated record.